CUCCCAUACACCGGGCCUCGGACGUACAGCUAGUGCUAGUUUUGGUGGUACUAUCACAGCUUCUUGGCUGCAACUGAGUACUUCCACAAGUGCACUAGGUACAAUAUUUACUCCAUUUGUCUUACUAGUAACAGAAACCAAAUGGUUCAAGAGAUCAAGUGGUUUCACUACCCCUUUCCCUUCAGUGUAUCACAGCUUCUUGGCUGCAACUGAGAACUUCCACAAGUGCACUAGGUACAAUAUUUACUCCAUUUGUCUUACUAGUAACAGAAACCAAAUGGUUCAAGAGAUCAAGUGGUUUCACUACCCCUUUCCCUUCAGUUUCAAUCCUGUGCGAAAACCAAAACAAUUAAAAACAAUGGUACUAAUGUAUUUAGAUAACAUGAGCUAUAGUAUUUUCGACAUGGGACAUAGAUAUAUAUGUGAAAAAUCAGUAAAAUUCUAACAAAUAUUAGAUUACAACAACACAACAAAAACAGUAAAUUACAUA
Molecule: long non-coding RNA, 490 nt
Filed under: Nicotiana benthamiana
Lineage: Eukaryota; Viridiplantae; Streptophyta; Magnoliopsida; Solanales; Solanaceae
Description: long non-coding RNA (NBEN_LNC021465)
Source: RNAcentral